AGUCGGUGCAGAAGCAGCAAGAUGCUGUGGCAGAUUCAGCUCCUCUGGCUCCUCGUGCUCUGGGCAAAGGGCUCCAGUGGGGACACUGUUGUGACCCAGACUCCUGAAUCCCUGGCAGUUUCCCCAGGAGAGACAGUCACCAUCAAGUGCAAAGCCAGCUCCAGUGUUAGCAGCUACAUGAACUUCUACCAGCAGAAACCAGGGCAGGCUCCAAAGCUCCUUCUCUACAACACAAACAGCCGCCCCUCGGGGAUCCCCGACCGGUUCAGUGGCAGUGGGUCUGGAACUGACUUCACUUUCACCAUCAGCCGGGUGGAAGCUGGAGAUGCUGGAGACUAUUACUGUCAGCAGGGUAACAGCAGCCCUCCCACAGUGCUACAGCCCCGCUCCAGCGGAGACAUCCUCGUGACCCAGACUCCAGAAUCUGUGGUUGUGUCCCCAGGAAACACAGUCACCAUCAAGUGCAAAGCCAGUUCCAGUGUUAGCAACUACAUGAACUUUUACCAGCAGAAACCAGGGCAGGCUCCAAAGCUCCUUGUCUACUACACAAACAAGCGCCCCUCGGGGAUCCCCGACCAGUUCAGUGGCAGUGGGUCUGGCACCGACUACACUUUCACCAUCAGCCAGGCACAAGUUUUAUUCAUCCUCUGA
Alligator mississippiensis (American alligator) is the source of this 651-nucleotide non-coding RNA. NCBI's taxonomy places the organism in Eukaryota, Metazoa, Chordata, Crocodylia, Alligatoridae. The record is from the annotation of a RefSeq genome assembly.